This 109-nucleotide ribosomal RNA is filed under the name Scophthalmus maximus (turbot). The record is from RNAcentral. Lineage: Eukaryota; Metazoa; Chordata; Actinopteri; Pleuronectiformes; Scophthalmidae.
GCUUACGGCCACACCGCCUGGUAUACGCUUGAUCUCGGAAGAUAAGGUAGGUUGGGCCUGGUUAGUACUUGCAUGGGAGACCGCCUGGGAAUACCAGGUGCUGUAAGCU